RNAcentral lists this long non-coding RNA (737 nucleotides) under Junco hyemalis (dark-eyed junco). Its description in RNAcentral is "lncRNA (ENSJHYG00000011266.1)". Lineage: Eukaryota; Metazoa; Chordata; Aves; Passeriformes; Passerellidae. The record is from RNAcentral.
AAGUCUCUCUGGUUUAGCUUCUUCUCCAUCAUCUCUGAGGUCUUGAUUCAAUGAAACUAGAAUAAGAAAACCCCGAGUUGAAAAAAAUCAUUUUAUAUCUAUAUAUCUACAUAUCUGUAUAUCUGUAUAUCUGUCUGGGUUAUGUAGAUUUAUAAUAUAUAUGCAUAUGUUAAAUAUGUAUAUUUUAUAUGUGUAUAUAUUAAAUAUGUAUAAAAGUAAGCGUGUGCUUAAGUAGUUUCCUGAGCAGAACCGGCUUGUUGAGUUGUGGGACACAAGGAUGAUUUUGUUUCAGGGCUUUCCAAGAUCAUUAGCAUACUCUGAAAAUCAGUACGAGGCUGAUAUUUCCAGCUGCCUGUGAGAUUCUGUUGUGUGAGACAUACCCUGAAGAAGUGGUCAGUGUGCCACCAUUUGCACAGCCCAUCCUGUAGAGUCAUUUGGUAUUGGUUUGUUAACUACAGACCACUGUUGAGCCUGUUAAUCAGAAACAAAGAAGUAACCUGUGCCCAGAGGUACAUUUUCAAUUUACAGAGAUGGGACUUCAGGGAAGUCUGCACUAGCAUAUUUCCCACAGGUAUGGCAGUAUCUUAACAGGUAUGGGAGUAUCUUAAUAUGGCAGUAUCAGGUUUUUCCCUCAAUCUAAACAAGUAUUCUAUUACAGUUUAAUUUAGAUAUAUUGUAGAAAAGUUUACAGAUCAUUUUUUAUGGCUGACAGCAGGCAAAACUGGAAGGCCUGUGAU